RNAcentral lists this ribosomal RNA (115 nucleotides) under Candidatus Nucleicultrix amoebiphila FS5. The record is from RNAcentral. Lineage: Bacteria; Pseudomonadati; Pseudomonadota; Alphaproteobacteria; Holosporales; Nucleicultricaceae (SeqCode).
UCUGGUCGCCAUAGCGAGGGUCUCGCACUCGAUCCCAUUCCGAACUCGUCAGUGAAACCCCUCCGCGCCAAUGGUACUUAGGCUUAAGCCUUGGAAGAGUAGGUCGCCGCCAGAC